GGUGCGCUCAGACCGGUCGGAAAUCGGUCGCAGAGUAUAAAGGCAAAAGCGCGCUUGACUGCGAGACAGACACGUCGAGCAGGUACGAAAGUAGGUCUUAGUGAUCCGGUGGUUCUGUAUGGAAGGGCCAUCGCUCAACGGAUAAAAGGUACUCCGGGGAUAACAGGCUGAUACCGCCCAAGAGUUCAUAUCGACGGCGGUGUUUGGCACCUCGAUGUCGGCUCAUCACAUCCUGGGGCUGAAGCCGGUCCCAAGGGUAUGGCUGUUCGCCAUUUAAAGUGGUACGCGAGCUGGGUUUAGAACGUCGUGAGACAGUUCGGUCCCUAUCUGCCGUGGACGUUUGAGAUUUGAGAGGGGCUGCUCCUAGUACGAGAGGACCGGAGUGGACGAACCUCUGGUGUUCCGGUUGUCACGCCAGUGGCAUUGCCGGGUAGCUAUGUUCGGAAAAGAUAACCGCUGAAAGCAUCUAAGCGGGAAACUUGCCUCAAGAUGAGAUCUCACUGGGAACUUGAUUCCCCUGAAGGGCCGUCGAAGACUACGACGUUGAUAGGCUGGGUGUGUAAGCGUUGUGAGGCGUUGAGCUAACCAGUACUAAUUGCCCGUGAGGCUUGACCAU
RNAcentral lists this ribosomal RNA (616 nucleotides) under Pseudomonas aeruginosa. RNAcentral describes it as "partial 23S ribosomal RNA". It matches the Rfam family "Bacterial large subunit ribosomal RNA", at positions 2315 to 2925 of the family's 2925-position model. Lineage: Bacteria; Pseudomonadati; Pseudomonadota; Gammaproteobacteria; Pseudomonadales; Pseudomonadaceae. The record is from RNAcentral.